UACGUAGGGUGCAAGCGUUGUCCGGAUUUACUGGGCGUAAAGAGCGCGCAGGCGGUCGUUCAAGUCGCGUGUGAAAGCCCCCGGCUCAACUGGGGAGGGUCACGCGAUACUGAUCGACUCGAAGGCAGGAGAGGGAAGUGGAAUUCCCGGUGUAGUGGUGAAAUGCGUAGAUAUUCGGAGGAACACCAGAAGCGAAGGCGGCCAACUGGCCCGAUACUGACGCUGAGGCGCGAAAGCGUGGGGAGCAAACAGG
This 253-nucleotide ribosomal RNA is filed under the name uncultured bacterium. RNAcentral describes it as "partial 16S ribosomal RNA". It matches the Rfam family "Bacterial small subunit ribosomal RNA", at positions 524 to 776 of the family's 1533-position model. The record is from RNAcentral.